AUUAGUUAUUCACCCUAUUAAGCAAAAUGAGAAUAUCUGAGUUUUUAAAAUAUUACCAUUUUUUUCAAAUCAGUGAGGCUGGGAGAAGGAUAUUGGCUCAGGGCAAUUUCUUGGUUUUACACUUUGGUGGCCAUUUAUAAGAAAACCAUCUAGCAAAGUUGCCUCUAAUCCUUUUGAUUUCCAUAACACUCUAUGAUCCACUACCUCUAAGAGUGCACUGUUUAAUAUCUGUAUAAUAAUUUGACUCCUAUUUUGUCCAUGCUUCCUCUUUUGCUUUUGCAGCAUACGGAGGUUCCCAGGAUAGGGGUCUGAUCGGAGCUGUAGCCAUUGGCCUAAGCCACAGCCACAGCAAUGCCAGAUCCGAGCCGCAUCUGGCAAGGCCAAUCCUUAACCCACUGAGCAACGCCACGGAUCAAACCCACAAUCACACGGUUUCUAGUCGGAUUCAUUUCUGCUGCGCCAUGACAGGAACUCAUAAAUAUUUUUAAAGCUUCUAGACAACAGACACUUGAAUUCCUAUGUGAAUAUCUGGAAAUCUGUGUUGCAGAGCUAUUUGGCAAUUUCCCAUUUUCCCUUUCUGUGGUCAUUCACUUGUCAGAAUUUCUUUUUCCUUUUCUUCCCUUAUCAAAGUGAGGCCAUCCAAGACUCUGUGUCAUCAUGCUUAAUCCUAUCAGCCAUGGACGAAUACUUGUGGAAGUAAUUUAUGCAAAAGCGCUACUGGGUCCAAGCAUCUCCCUCCCAAGAUGUAUUUUUAAGAAGUUUAGAGGGAAUGAUGCUGUAAUGAGAGACCAGCAAAACAAGCACAAAGUCAACGUAAAGAAAAUAUUCUGAAAAACAGUUCUCAGAAACCUGAAACCUGAAAUUCUUGAGCAAUUAAAUCUGAAUUAGGCAAGGAAUACUGUCAGAGAUAUGUCACAGCAGGAAGAUGAGUAUGUAAAGAGCUCUUUAAAGGGGCGAACUUGCCAGGUAGGUGAGGAGAGUCUAGGAUGAUAUUUGGCAAGAUGUAUGUGCAAAGAAUCAGAUUAUGGAUUAUCUAAGGCUAGACAUCUGCCUAUCUAAAUUGAUAACAUGGCCAAUGUGUGUUGGACACAAUUGGAUUCUAAGUUUCCCAAUACUUAUCCUGAACUUAUUUUUUAAGAUUCUGUUUCCUGUGGCCACAGUUUUCUAUCACAUAGUAGAGGCAAAUAUUUAAUCAAUAAAGACCUGUUGACUCAAUGAAUCCUCUUCAUGAUCGCUACUUUUUUUUUUACAUAUUGGUCCAGAUAUGUGGAUUUUUCUACACAGAGAAAUAUACUGCAUCAAAGAAUAUAAGAGCAGACCAUCCUGCCUCAGUGAUGGUUUAGAGAGGAAUACGUAGAUAAACAGAUAGACUGAUACAUUGAUACAUGAUAUAGUUGUAGUUGUUGUUGUUUCCUAAACAGAGAACAUUCUCCUACCCCAAACUGAACUUUAUAUGGAGCAGGAAUAUAUAAAAUAUACAAAAGUAGAGCUUGCACCUUUUUUUUUUUUUUAAUGUAUGCAGGACAUAGCUUCUCUUAUUAAUAAAUCCUAUGGUACUGUAACUGCUAGAAAGCUAUCCAUUGUUUUGGCUCAGUCAACCCUUUUUACAAGUAAAGGGUACUAAGGCCCUGGGGCAAAUUACCUAAACACACAGGAAUUUCUAAAGCUAGGGUAGGAACUAAUUCCCCCUGAUUCUGGCGUGGUGUUCUUUCUGGUACAUUAUACUGCUUGUUUACACACUUCUGAAUUUAGCUCUUUCCUUUUAUUUCUUUUGAUUUGUUUACUUGCUUGCUGUUGGUUGGUUUAGGUGUUUUCAGGUUCUAACAUUGGCAAGCUACCACAGUAUGCUUUCUGAUUUAGUACUUUUUCCAGUCUUUAUUGUUGUCCCUAAAAAUCUAGUUUAUGCUAUUACUAACAAACUUUGGGUCAAAUAUCGAGCAAAACACAUUCACCAAGUUUAAUCGAUCUGAUCAAAAGUUGAAAGUAAUGUGGUUUGACACGUCACAACAAACAAUGGAGUCACAAAUUUGAAGAUAAAAAUCCUAUAAAAAACAAUUUACUUAACAUGUUCUGUACUUGGUUUCAUUCUUUUAUAAGACUGAAGUCAGUUAUGAUAAAGUUAUAUUUUUGCAAUUAAUUAAAAGCUACAAGUUGAUGGUGUUCUAAUGCAGGAUCCAUUGGUCAUGAAGGAAAUAAAAGGACCUCAGAUAUCUAAAGUGAAUUUUAAGGAGAGAAAAUAGCAGACAUAGGUGGAAAAUAUGGAAUUUUUAAAAACUACACUAGUAAUUAAGACAAUAUAAAAGUCUGGACUUUUGGUUAAAAAAAACGAAACAAAACAAAACACACUUUUAACUAAGGGUACCCUCUAAAAGAUUUCAUCUUUACCUUUCCAAAAAAAAGGAUCAAAUUACCAUCUUCUCACUUGAAUAAAUUCACAACUGACACUCAGUGUGCAUGUUUUGGAGGUUGCUGCGAAACAGCUAAGACCUAAGCACAGCAUUACUUUAAAUGAUCACUAUACAUAAUUUAUCACUGAUCUUUGUUAUGUUAUUAUCAUUAAGAAGUUGGUUGGCUUCGUUUGGUCCUUAGAAAAGAAGUGACAGUAUUCCCUGUAAUACAGCAACACUGAUAGAUAUUUGAAAAUUUAAAGUUCAGUAAAUUAAACCAAAAUCUUACAUUUCCAAAAGGCUGAAAACUAUAGAUAGAUAUAUUUCAGAUAAAUUAUAUUCUUUAGAUGGCCAUAAUGAAAGUGAUGAAGCUGGUGUCAGCUUGAGGACAUUUAACUCUGGGACUCAGCGAGUCGAUAUGUAGCGAGAAUGGGAUCCCAGGAGUCAGACAGCCUGGCUUGGAUCUCAGCUCUAUUGGUGUAACUCUAGAUUGGUAGCUGAAUUCUCUAACUCACAGUUUCUUUACUUGGUGGACACUAGUAUAAAUGAGGGUGUGUUGUGUGGACACUAGUAUAAACGAGGACACUAUUAACACAUAGAGUCCCUAGGAAUGUGUAAAGUGCAUUCUUGAUAAAAUAAAGGGGUUGUGAUAGUCAUUGUCACUACUUAAAAAGAAUUUGAUUUCCAAAAUAAAUCCUAUUUAUAAAUCCUAUAUAAAUCCUAUUUACAAAAUAGGUUAUAAAAUAUUGAGUACUUUACUCAGUCAUUUGUUUGCAUUUCAAAACAACCCACAACGUAGUAUGAAAGUAUAGAGAUUAUACACUUUUUUGUGUACAGGUGACCCUUGAACAAUGCAGGGGUUAGGGACCAAAAAAACAAAACAAACAAAAAGAAAUCUGCAUGUAAGUGGACCCAUGCAGCUCAAACCUGUGUUAUUCAAGGGUCAACUCUAUUUCAUUUUUACAAAUUAAAGAUUAUAGAUUCAUAUGAAGAGCAAAACAAAAUACUGAAUCAUCUAUUGUGAAAGACCUGCCCCCAAACCCUUUGUUGUUAUGGUUUUUGUUUAUUGUUACUGGUGUGCUCUCAUGUGCAUACAGAGACUGAAAGAGGAUAAGGGACUUCCUCGGAUGCACACCAUUACCUGUUGGUCCUCUGUGGCCCAGUUUCUAUCCAUCUUCCACCCAGGGCCAAGGGUAGCAAAGGAAGAGGCUCAAAGCCAAGAGUCAGGCCCAGGGACACAUGUCAACCCAGCUGGCAAGGAAGCACUCUGUAGUAGUUUUCUCCCACGCCCUAACCCGUUCGACAUUUCUCCAGUAAAUACUGGAAAGAGAUGAACUCAACUCCCACAGGCUUGGAAAUGGAGCAUAUCUCCCCGUGCUUUUGCCCAAUAGGGUGAGCAAAGCUGGAUCACAGUCUAGGGCCAUUACUUCCAAAGGGAGCGACGCAUGGCGUCUGACCACCAGUCACCAAGGAAACAUUUCUUAAAAGGCCACUGCUGUGAAAACGCGAUAUGAAAGCAGAAACAUUUUGAUUCUCAUGGAAAAUAGCUCAGUAAACAUUCCAUCCUAUUUCACAGCAAAUAUGUUCCACCCACUUGCCCACAACCCUUGUCUGCUCUCCUCUGGGGUACUUUCAGCUUUUAAAAAAUUGAAUAAAAAUAAAAGAAAACAAUAAAUAACUUCCUUCCUUCCUUCUUUCCUUCCUUCCCUUCCUUCCUUCUUUCCUUUCUUCCAUCCCACCGCCCCCCUUCUUUCUCUCCUUUUCAAAUUUCCAUAUGGCUAGGGUUUCUUUUAAUAACUCUAGUCCCAUUAUACUCAGUAGUACUUAAUGGAAAAACAGCCGCUCCCAUUGCUGGAAAAGGUAAAACUCAAUUCAUGAUUAAUGCUUUCAAGAUACCCAGAAAAAAAAAAAAAAAAUCAAGGUUAUUACUAGAAAGUCAGAUCAGUCCCUUUGUAUUCAUUCCAACAGCUGUUUGACAUGAAUGGAGGCCAAGUAAGGAAAGUUCAGGUAAAUAUGUCAAUUUAGCUGAGUUAUUCAGGGGUCAAAGAGGGGUUAGGUACUUGUGGGGGGAUGGUGUUCCAUUUAUCCUUAAAAGGAAAUUUUUAAUGUAAAAAAGGAAGCCUCCUUGUUUUAUAGAUCAUAUUUUAGACACAGAAAAAUGUGACCAUUUUAUGCUUGCAUUACACCAGAGAAUGCGUGGCUAAAUUAAGAGCCUUGCUCAGGGUCCCGACUGGCCAGUGAACCCAUCAAAAUCAGAGGCCUGGCCCCUUUGUG
RNAcentral lists this long non-coding RNA (4661 nucleotides) under Sus scrofa (pig). RNAcentral describes it as "lncRNA (ENSSSCG00050007670.1)". The record is from RNAcentral. Lineage: Eukaryota; Metazoa; Chordata; Mammalia; Artiodactyla; Suidae.